This 824-nucleotide ribosomal RNA is filed under the name Bacillus sp. (in: firmicutes). RNAcentral's name for it is "bacterial SSU rRNA". It matches the Rfam family "Bacterial small subunit ribosomal RNA", at positions 107 to 915 of the family's 1533-position model. Lineage: Bacteria; Bacillati; Bacillota; Bacilli; Caryophanales; Bacillaceae. The record is from RNAcentral.
UGAGUAACACGUGGGUAACCUGCCUGUAAGACUGGGAUAACUCCGGGAAACCGGGGCUAAUACCGGAUGGUUGUCUGAACCGCAUGGUUCAGACAUAAAAGGUGGCUUCGGCUACCACUUACAGAUGGACCCGCGGCGCAUUAGCUAGUUGGUGAGGUAACGGCUCACCAAGGCGACGAUGCGUAGCCGACCUGAGAGGGUGAUCGGCCACACUGGGACUGAGACACGGCCCAGACUCCUACGGGAGGCAGCAGUAGGGAAUCUUCCGCAAUGGACGAAAGUCUGACGGAGCAACGCCGCGUGAGUGAUGAAGGUUUUCGGAUCGUAAAGCUCUGUUGUUAGGGAAGAACAAGUGCCGUUCAAAUAGGGCGGCACCUUGACGGUACCUAACCAGAAAGCCACGGCUAACUACGUGCCAGCAGCCGCGGUAAUACGUAGGUGGCAAGCGUUGUCCGGAAUUAUUGGGCGUAAAGGGCUCGCAGGCGGUUUCUUAAGUCUGAUGUGAAAGCCCCCGGCUCAACCGGGGAGGGUCAUUGGAAACUGGGGAACUUGAGUGCAGAAGAGGAGAGUGGAAUUCCACGUGUAGCGGUGAAAUGCGUAGAGAUGUGGAGGAACACCAGUGGCGAAGGCGACUCUCUGGUCUGUAACUGACGCUGAGGAGCGAAAGCGUGGGGAGCGAACAGGAUUAGAUACCCUGGUAGUCCACGCCGUAAACGAUGAGUGCUAAGUGUUAGGGGGUUUCCGCCCCUUAGUGCUGCAGCUAACGCAUUAAGCACUCCGCCUGGGGAGUACGGUCGCAAGACUGAAACUCAAAGGAAUUGACG